Sinocyclocheilus grahami is the source of this 110-nucleotide long non-coding RNA. RefSeq lists it as uncharacterized. The transcript is spliced from 3 exons. NCBI's taxonomy places the organism in Eukaryota, Metazoa, Chordata, Actinopteri, Cypriniformes, Cyprinidae. The record is from RefSeq and is a predicted model, not a curated record.
AAAAAAAAACUUUUUCUAAAGUACAAAUGUAUGGUUAACAGUGUUUAUGUCAUAUCAAUCCGUCAGAAAAAGUUUUUUUUUUAGUUAGUUAGUUGUAAUUCUUGGCUGAA